Molecule: ribosomal RNA, 478 nt
Filed under: uncultured bacterium
Lineage: Bacteria
Description: partial 16S ribosomal RNA
Rfam family: Bacterial small subunit ribosomal RNA
Source: RNAcentral
GAUGAACGCUGACGGCGUGCUUAACACAUGCCAGUCGAACGGGAAUUCCUUUAUUUAAUCUUCGGUCGAUUUCAUUUAGUUAUAGUGGCGGCCGGAUGAGUCACGCGUGGGUAACCUGCCUUUUACUGGUGGAUAACAGUCAGAAAUCGCUGCUACUACCGUCUACGCUUCCAGAGCUGCAUGGCUCCGUGUGAAAAACUCAGGUUGUAUAAGAUGGACCCUCUUUGGCUUAGCUUUUUGGUGUGGUAACGGCCCACCAAAGCGACGGUCCAUAGCCGCCUUGGGAGGGUGAACGGCCACAUUGGGACUGAGACACGGUCCAGACUCCGAAGGGAGGCAGCAGUGGGGAAUAUUGCACAAUGGGGGAAAACCUGAUGCAUCGACGCCGCGUGAAGGAAGAAGUAGCUCGGGAUGUAAACUUCUAUCAGAAGGGAAGAUAGUGACGGUACCUGACUAAGAAGCCCCGGCUAACUACGUG